This 427-nucleotide ribosomal RNA is filed under the name uncultured bacterium. Its description in RNAcentral is "partial 16S ribosomal RNA". It matches the Rfam family "Bacterial small subunit ribosomal RNA", at positions 355 to 774 of the family's 1533-position model. The record is from RNAcentral.
UGGGGAAUAUUGCACAAUGGGCGCAAGCCUGAUGCAGCCAUGCCGCGUGUAUGAAGAAGGCCUUCGGGUUGUAAAGUACUUUCAGCGGGGAGGAAGGCGAUAAGGUUAAUAACCUUGUCGAUUGACGUUACCCGCAGAAGAAGCACCGGCUAACUCCGUGCCAGCAGCCGCGGUAAUACGGAGGGUGCAAGCGUUAAUCGGAAUUACUGGGCGUAAAGCGCACGCAGGCGUUCUGUCAAGUCGGAUGUGAAAUCCCCGGGCUCAACCUGGGAACUGCAUUCGAAACUGGCAGGCUAGAGUCUUGUAGAGGGGGGUAGAAUUCCAGGUGUAGCGGUGAAAUGCGUAGAGAUCUGGAGGAAUACCGGUGGCGAAGGCGGCCCCCUGGACAAAGACUGACGCUCAGGUGCGAAAGCGUGGGGAGCAAACA